RNAcentral lists this microRNA (23 nucleotides) under Rehmannia glutinosa. RNAcentral describes it as "rgl-miR5578". Lineage: Eukaryota; Viridiplantae; Streptophyta; Magnoliopsida; Lamiales; Orobanchaceae. The record is from miRBase by way of RNAcentral.
CAUGUGGCAUGAUGGCAGAAAGU